Molecule: non-coding RNA, 230 nt
Filed under: Lentilactobacillus curieae
Lineage: Bacteria; Bacillati; Bacillota; Bacilli; Lactobacillales; Lactobacillaceae
Description: Lactobacillus curieae T-box sequence
Rfam family: T-box leader
About the family: Uncharged tRNA acts as the effector for transcription antitermination of genes in the T-box leader family.
Source: RNAcentral
AACCAAGUCAUGAAGAGAAGAGUAGUUUUCCAAGACUGUUUAAAGAGAGCCGGGAUUGGUGAGAACCGGUAAUAGCAAUGAAAAUGAAGAUGAACUCUGAAAAAUGGAUCAUCGUUAACGCGGUGGUCACGGCAGGAUCCGUUACCAUCCCUAGCAUUAUUGUGCUGAUGAGGCAAUUUGACUUAGUCAGGUUGCGAAACAGGGUGGUACCACGAUUCGUCGUCCCUUUA